GUCUCUUCUUCUCCCAGCAAUUGGAGCAGGUGUGCAGGCUUUAGGUGGGAGACACCUACUUAUCCGCACCUGACAACCCUUCUUCACUCUGGCUCCACGAGACCUGAAGUUUGGAAAUCAGCAUCCGAGCCAGUCAUCCAGCUUGUCUCAGGAUGUCAGCGUUCAGAGAAAACAGCAGGCCCAUGGGGCACAAUGUCACAUCCAUGUCAGGAUGAGAGUUUCAUGGGUGAUGAAGUCAGAAGGAGAGUCUUUGGGAAUUUCCCUGGAUAAAAGCAAUCUGGUGGUUUCAAGGGACUUGGCAUAAGGAACCCU
RNAcentral lists this long non-coding RNA (312 nucleotides) under Mustela putorius furo (domestic ferret). Its description in RNAcentral is "lncRNA (ENSMPUG00000027455.1)". Lineage: Eukaryota; Metazoa; Chordata; Mammalia; Carnivora; Mustelidae. The record is from RNAcentral.